ACCAAGCGAUCGCAAGAUCGUUUAUUGUUGAACUCUAGAUAACAUGCAGAUCGCAUGGUCUUGUACCGACGACAGAUCUUUCAAAUGUCUGCCCUAUCAACUUUUGAUGGUAGUAUCUAGGACUACCAUGGUUGCAACGGGUAACGGGGAAUCAGGGUUCGAUUCCGGAGAGGGAGCCUGAGAAACGGCUACCACAUCUAAGGAAGGCAGCAGGCGCGUAAAUUACCCACUUCCAGCUCGGGGAGGUAGUGACGAAAAAUAACAAUACAGGACUCAUAUCCGAGGCCCUGUAAUUGGAAUGAGUACACUUUAAAUCCUUUAACAAGGACCAAUUGGAGGGCAAGUCUGGUGCCAGAAGCCGCGGUAAUUCCAGCUCCAAUAGCGUUUAUUAAAGUUGUUGCGGCUAAAACGUUCGUAGUUGAACUUGUGCUUCAUACGGGUAGUACAACUUACAAUUGUGGUUAGUACUAUACCUAUAUGUAUGUAAGCGUAUUACCGGUGGAGUUCUUACAUGUGAUUAAAUACUUGUAUUUUUUCAUAUGUUCCUCCUAUUUAAAAACCUGCAUUAGUGCUCUUAAACGAGUGCUAUUGUGGGCCGGUACUAUUACUUUGAACAAAUUAGAGUGCUUAAAGCAGGCUUCAAAUACCUGAAUAUUCUGCGCAUGGGAUAAUGAAAUAAGACCUCUGUUCUGCUUUCAUUGGUUUUCAGAUCAAGAGGUAAUGAUUAAUAGAAGCAGUUUGGGGGCAUUAGUAUUACGACGCGAGAGGUGAAAUUCUUGGACCGUCGUAAGACUAACUUAAGCGAAAGCAAUUGCCAAAGAUGUUUUCAAUAAUCAAGAACGAAAGUUAGAGGUUCGAAGGCGAUCAGAUACCGCCUUAGUUCUAACCAUUAACGAUGCCAGCUAGCAAUUGGGUGUAGCUACUUUUAUGGCUCUCUCAGUCGCUUCCCGGGAAAGGAAGUAUGGGGAAGCUCCGGGGGAAGUAUGGUUGCAAAGCUGAAACUUAAAGGAAUUGACGGAAGGGCACCACCAGGAGUGGAGCCUGCGGCUUAAUUUGACUCAACACAGGAAAACUUACCAGGUCCGAACAUAAGUGUGUAAGACAGAUUGAUAGCUCUUUCUCGAAUCUAUGGGUGGUGGUGCAUGGCCGUUCAUAGUUCGUGGAGUAAUUUGUCUGGUUAAUUCCGAUAACGAAUGAGACUCAAAUAUAUUAAAUAGAUAUCUUCAGGAUUAUGGUGCUGAAGCUUAUAUAGCCUUCAUUAAUGGUGGCAGUAAAAUGUUUAUUGUGUUUGAAUGUGUUUAUGUAAGUGGAACUGAAACUGUUCACAUGAACUUAAAAUUCCCAGUAAGUGUGAGUCAUUAACUCGCAUUGAUUACGUCCCUGCCCUUUGUACACACCGCCCGUCGCUACUACCGAUUGAAUUGUUUAGUGAGGUCUCCGGACGUGAUCACUGUGACGCCUUGAGUGUUACGCUUGUUUCGCAAAAGUUGACCGAACUUGAUUAUUUAGAGAAGUAAAAGUCGUAACUAGGUUUCCGUAGGUGAACCUGCGGAAG
This 1555-nucleotide ribosomal RNA is filed under the name Drosophila yakuba. Its description in RNAcentral is "SSU rRNA". It matches the Rfam family "Eukaryotic small subunit ribosomal RNA", at positions 221 to 1823 of the family's 1831-position model. The record is from RNAcentral. Lineage: Eukaryota; Metazoa; Arthropoda; Insecta; Diptera; Drosophilidae.